This 505-nucleotide ribosomal RNA is filed under the name uncultured bacterium. Its description in RNAcentral is "partial 16S ribosomal RNA". It matches the Rfam family "Bacterial small subunit ribosomal RNA", at positions 28 to 507 of the family's 1533-position model. The record is from RNAcentral.
GACGAACGCUGGCGGCGUGCCUAAUACAUGCAAGUAGAACGCACAGUUUAUACCGUAGCUUGCUACACCAUAGACUGUGAGUUGCGAACGGGUGAGUAACGCGUAGGUAACCUGCCUGGUAGCGGGGGAUAACUAUUGGAAACGAUAGCUAAUACCGCAUAAUAUUGAUUAUUGCAUGAUAAUUAAUUGAAAGGUGCAAUUGCAUCACUACCAGAUGGACCUGCGUUGUAUUAGCUAGUAGGUGAGGUAACGGCUCACCUAGGCGACGAUACAUAGCCGACCUGAGAGGGUGAUCGGCCACACUGGGACUGAGACACGGCCCAGACUCCUACGGGAGGCAGCAGUAGGGAAUCUUCGGCAAUGGACGAAAGUCUGACCGAGCAACGCCGCGUGAGUGAAGAAGGGUGUCGGAUCGUAAAGCUCUGUUGUAAGAGAAGAACGGGUGUGAGAGUGGAAAGUUCACACUGUGACGGUAUCUUACCAGAAAGGGACGGCUAACUACGUG